AUAUUUUAGAGCACUGUGGUUUAAAAAUGUAUCAUAUUAUUUUGCUAGCUGUUAUCACUUUGCCUUAAUGUCUUUUUCUCUUUACAGAAAAAAAAGUACAGUAUUCCUGGUCAGGGGACGAAAGGUGCAAUAAAUGGAAUAUGGCAAGCCAAUGUGCCACUCUCCCUUUCAUUAAGGAAUGAAAAGAAGCAGAACAUGGCCACGGACACUAACCACUCUACGUUGCACAUGGCAUUUGAUCGUCUUUCCUUUCCAGCCUCCAUCUUCUACUGUCUCACGUUAGUGAGAAGCCAUCUCUCUGGCAAAGCUCACUAUAAGGACACUACUCAAAAAUGAUUCCUCCUUCAGUUCUCUAGCUACCUGACAUUUUUUUAAUAGAACGACUCCAGCACACUAUGUCAGAACGUCUUAUAACAAGCAUAUCUUGUCAUCAC
RNAcentral lists this long non-coding RNA (434 nucleotides) under Callithrix jacchus (white-tufted-ear marmoset). RNAcentral describes it as "lncRNA (ENSCJAG00000083415.1)". Lineage: Eukaryota; Metazoa; Chordata; Mammalia; Primates; Cebidae. The record is from RNAcentral.